CCUACGGGAGGCAGCAGUGAGGAAUAUUGGUCAAUGGGCGAGAGCCUGAACCAGCCAAGUCGCGUGAAGGAUGACGGCCCUACGGGUUGUAAACUUCUUUUGUCAGGGAGCAAUUGGGUCCACGCGUGGGCUUAGCGAGAGUACCUGAAGAAAAAGCAUCGGCUAACUCCGUGCCAGCAGCCGCGGUAGUACGGAGGAUGCGAGCGUUAUCCGGAUUUAUUGGGUUAAAAGGGUGCGUAGGCGGAAUAUCAAGUCAGCGGUAAAAAUUCGGGGCUAAACCCCGUCGUGCCGUUGAGACUGAUGGUCUUGAGUGGGCGAGAGGUAUGCGGAAUGCGUGGUGUAGCGGUGAAAUGCAUAGAUAUCACGCAGAACUCCGAUGGCGAAGGCGACAUACCGGCGCCCAACUGACGCUGAAGCACGAAAGCGUGGGUAUCGAACAGGAUUAGAUACCCCUGUAGUC
This 460-nucleotide ribosomal RNA is filed under the name uncultured bacterium. RNAcentral's name for it is "partial 16S ribosomal RNA". It matches the Rfam family "Bacterial small subunit ribosomal RNA", at positions 338 to 795 of the family's 1533-position model. The record is from RNAcentral.